Molecule: unclassified non-coding RNA, 154 nt
Filed under: soil metagenome
Description: partial internal transcribed spacer 1
Source: RNAcentral
UAAGGUAAGUGUUUUAUGGGGGCACUUUUUAAAUCGCAUAUCCACCUUGUGUGCAAUGUCAGUCGAUCUUCUUCAUGGAGAUCGACCAAACAUCAACCUUUAUUUUUUAACUCUUUGUCUGAAAAAUAUUAUGAAUAUAAAACAAUUCAAAAUA